AUUGAACGCUGGCGGCAGGCUUAACACAUGCAAGUCGAGCGGAGAUGAGGUGCUUGCACCUUAUCUUAGCGGCGGACGGGUGAGUAAUGCUUAGGAAUCUGCCUAUUAGUGGGGGACAACGUUCCGAAAGGAAUGCUAAUACCGCAUACGUCCUACGGGAGAAAGCAGGGGAUCUUCGGACCUUGCGCUAAUAGAUGAGCCUAAGUCGGAUUAGCUAGUUGGUGGGGUAAAGGCCUACCAAGGCGACGAUCUGUAGCGGGUCUGAGAGGAUGAUCCGCCACACUGGGACUGAGACACGGCCCAGACUCCUACGGGAGGCAGCAGUGGGGAAUAUUGGACAAUGGGGGGAACCCUGAUCCAGCCAUGCCGCGUGUGUGAAGAAGGCCUUAUGGUUGUAAAGCACUUUAAGCGAGGAGGAGGCUACUGAGACUAAUACUCUUGGAUAGUGGACGUUACUCGCAGAAUAAGCACCGGCUAACUCCGUGCCAGCCGCCGCGGUAA
RNAcentral lists this ribosomal RNA (501 nucleotides) under uncultured bacterium. RNAcentral's name for it is "partial 16S ribosomal RNA". It matches the Rfam family "Bacterial small subunit ribosomal RNA", at positions 30 to 523 of the family's 1533-position model. The record is from RNAcentral.